This 94-nucleotide transfer RNA is filed under the name Hermanssonia centrifuga. RNAcentral's name for it is "Phlebia centrifuga tRNA". It matches the Rfam family "tRNA". Rfam says of the family: Transfer RNA (tRNA) molecules are approximately 80 nucleotides in length. Their secondary structure includes four short double-helical elements and three loops (D, anti-codon, and T loops). Further hydrogen bonds mediate the characteristic L-shaped molecular structure. tRNAs have two regions of fundamental functional importance: the anti-codon, which is responsible for specific mRNA codon recognition, and the 3' end, to which the tRNAs corresponding amino acid is attached (by aminoacyl-tRNA synthetases). tRNAs cope with the degeneracy of the genetic code in two manners: having more than one tRNA (with a specific anti-codon) for a particular amino acid; and 'wobble' base-pairing, i.e. permitting non-standard base-pairing at the 3rd anti-codon position. The record is from Rfam by way of RNAcentral. Lineage: Eukaryota; Fungi; Basidiomycota; Agaricomycetes; Polyporales; Meruliaceae.
UCCCGUUUAGCUCAGCUGGUAGAGCGCGUCACUAGUAUUACGCUUACGUAAACAAUAAAUGACGAGGUCAGUCGUUCAAAUCGGCUAAUGGGAA